GUUGUGUGGUUCAACUUAACAAUCAAAUUCUUUGAAACCAGUUAAUGGAUGGAUCCUUGAAUAAUGUUAUACCAAUAUCAACAUGAUAUUCUGAUGUGUCUUUUUCAAGCUCCUGCCACUAGUUUCUAGUUGUUAGCCACUGAUGAUCCACUGACCGGAAACAAUAAAUUUGCUAAAUCUUCUUCAGGAAAAAUAUUUCAAUCCAAUCAAUUGUAGGACAU
This 221-nucleotide long non-coding RNA is filed under the name Elaeis guineensis (African oil palm). RNAcentral's name for it is "long non-coding RNA (EGUI_LNC003051)". The record is from RNAcentral. Lineage: Eukaryota; Viridiplantae; Streptophyta; Magnoliopsida; Arecales; Arecaceae.